GACGAACGCUGGCGGCGUGCCUAACACAUGCAAGUCGAGCGGGGUCCAUCCGGUAGCAAUACUGGGGAAGACCUAGCGGCGAACGGGUGAGUAACACGUGAGAAACCUGCCCCGAAGUCUGGGAUAACCCGAGGAAACUCGAGCUAAUACCGGAUGCCUUCUUCUGAUCGCAUGGUCGGAUGAAGAAAGAUUUAUCGCUUCGGGAGGGUCUCGCGGCCUAUCAGCUAGUUGGCGGGGUAACGCCCACAAGGCGUCGACGGGUAGCUGGUCUGAGAGGACGAUCAGCCACACUGGGACUGAGACACGGCCCAGACUCCUACGGGAGGCAGCAGUGGGGAAUAUUGCGCAAUGGGCGAAAGCCUGACGCAGCAACGCCGCGUGCGGGGAU
Molecule: ribosomal RNA, 388 nt
Filed under: uncultured bacterium
Lineage: Bacteria
Description: bacterial SSU rRNA
Rfam family: Bacterial small subunit ribosomal RNA
Source: RNAcentral